Molecule: ribosomal RNA, 433 nt
Filed under: uncultured bacterium
Lineage: Bacteria
Description: partial 16S ribosomal RNA
Rfam family: Bacterial small subunit ribosomal RNA
Source: RNAcentral
AACGAACGCUGGCGGCAUGCCUAACACAUGCAAGUCGAACGAGACCUUCGGGUCUAGUGGCGCACGGGUGCGUAACGCGUGGGAACCUGCCCUUAGGUUCGGAAUAACUCCCCGAGAGGGGUGCUAAUACCGGAUAAUGUCUUCGGACCAAAGAUUUAUCGCCUUUGGAUGGGCCCGCGUUGGAUUAGCUAGUUGGUAGGGUAAAAGCCUACCAAGGCGACGAUCCAUAGCUGGUCUGAGAGGAUGAUCAGCCACACUGGGACUGAGACACGGCCCAGACUCCUACGGGAGGCAGCAGUGGGGAAUAUUGGACAAUGGGCGAAAGCCUGAUCCAGCAAUGCCGCGUGAGUGAUGAAGGCCUUAGGGUUGUAAAGCUCUUUUACCCGGGAUGAUAAUGACAGUACCGGGAGAAUAAGCUCCGGCUAACUCCGUG